GACGAACGUUGGCGGCGUGCUUAAUACAUGCAAGUCAACUGAAGCAGUGGUAGCAAUAUCGCUGUGGAGGUGGCGCACGGGUGAGUAACACGUAGGUAAUCUGCCUUCAGGUCUGGCAUAACUCCGUGAAACCGGGGCUAAUAGCAGAUGAUGCAGCGGCUCGACAUCGAGACAGUUGUUAAAGCUAUGGCGCCUGAAGAUGAGCCUGCGUCUGAUUAGCUAGUUGGCGGGGUAACGGCCCACCAAGGCAACGAUCAGUAGCUGGUCUGAGAGGAUGAUCAGGCACACUGGAACUGAGACACGGUCCAGACUCCGACGGGAGGCAGCAGUAAGGAAUAUUGCUCAAUGGGAGAAAGCCUGAAGCAGCACCGCCGCGGAAGGGACGAAGGGCGUUUGCUUGUAAACCUCUGUAGUGAGAGAAAAAAAUCCCACUCUGUGGGACAUGAUGGUAUCUCAAAAGUAAGCCCCGGCUAACUACGUG
Molecule: ribosomal RNA, 481 nt
Filed under: uncultured bacterium
Lineage: Bacteria
Description: partial 16S ribosomal RNA
Rfam family: Bacterial small subunit ribosomal RNA
Source: RNAcentral